UACGUAGGGGGCUAGCGUUGCUCGGAAUCACUGGGCGUAAAGCGCACGUAGGCGGUUCUUUAAGUCCGGGGUGAAAUCCUGGAGCUCAACUCCAGAACUGCCUUUGAUACUGAGGAGCUUGAGUCCGGAAGAGGUGAGUGGAACUGCGAGUGUAGAGGUGAAAUUCGUAGAUAUUCGCAAGAACACCAGUGGCGAAGGCGGCUCACUGGCACGGUACUGACGCUGAGGUGCGAAAGCGUGGGGAGCAAACAGG
This 253-nucleotide ribosomal RNA is filed under the name uncultured bacterium. RNAcentral's name for it is "partial 16S ribosomal RNA". It matches the Rfam family "Bacterial small subunit ribosomal RNA", at positions 524 to 776 of the family's 1533-position model. The record is from RNAcentral.